UCUCGAAGACGACAAAAGAGAAUUACAGAAAAAGGUACAAGCAAUCCAUAAAAAAAUUUCAAGGCACAAGAACAAAGUGGAAGAGGAGAGACUCACUCCAGAGAAAAGAAAAGUUAGAUCCAUGGUAGAGGCCUGCCCUGGUCCAGUUAGGGUCAGGGCGGGGAAAAAUGCGACAUUUCACAUACUUUGACUGUAAUUGAAAUAAAAGUCGGGUUUCCAUGCAUGAAAAUGUAUGUUUUCGAUGAAUCAUAAUUUCUGUAGUCGAAAUUGUGCGCAAACUAAAAUUCUUGAUGUGAUUUAUUACUAAUAGAAGAAUUUAAAUGUGACUAUUUCAGUAUUUGCUUACCGGGGAAAAAUGAGACACGCGUGGGGAAAAGUGAGACAGGCGGCCUAGCGUACAUUUCGGGGAAGAAGGAGACACUUCGGGUAAAAAUGAGACAGCCACUCGUGUGAGAGGCAGGGAGUAGCUGUGAGGGAACAACUAAACGCGCAGUGUUUGAGCCUGGCGCGCGUGAUCGAGAUCGAGCACUGCCAUCUAGCGGCCGGUGUCGGAAGCACGGCGAGGCCGGGCCGGCCGAUGCGAGGGCGAGAAGCAGAAAGUGAAGUGAGGGAAGAAGAUUGUAAGCGAGGAGGAAGGAAAGCUAGAAAGAAAGGAAAAUAUGCUAGUGGAUUGUUAAGACAAUUUCGUAGACUUUCCAUCCAUCCACCAUGCGCGAAUCUUUAACGACUGUUUUAGAGCACCGAGUGUGUUUUCAAUAUACCAGCGAAGCCACAGAGCCAUAGUCGAAAGCUACAGGAAUGGCAUAGUAAUUAGUCAAAAGAAGCGAGUCAGGUAGACCACGAACAUUGGAGUGACAUUCGAUGUGGCCUCCAGGUUCUCACGAAACAUCACGGUCGUGCUUUUAACCUCAACUGGUCGAGCACAAUCUUCUCCCAUUCAAAUGACUUUAGGACCUGAGCUGAGGUGAUAUCGUAACCGAUGGUCUCACAUUAGUAAAGUGUAAACUGCACAAUACGUUCUGUAUGUACUGAUUGUACUAAAGUUUGAUUAAUCAGAAAUAAAAGUAUUUAUUUAUGCAAGUAUUUACAUUACUCAAAGUAAUGACAUUUCUCAUUAAAACAUAAACGCACUCAUUGCAGGACUGGGAAAGAUUUACUUCACUUCCUC
This is a long non-coding RNA of Frankliniella occidentalis (western flower thrips), 1168 nucleotides long. RefSeq lists it as uncharacterized. The transcript is spliced from 3 exons. Lineage: Eukaryota; Metazoa; Arthropoda; Insecta; Thysanoptera; Thripidae. The record is from RefSeq and is a predicted model, not a curated record.